Molecule: ribosomal RNA, 53 nt
Filed under: Gracilibacillus dipsosauri
Lineage: Bacteria; Bacillati; Bacillota; Bacilli; Caryophanales; Bacillaceae
Description: partial 23S ribosomal RNA
Source: RNAcentral
AGUUAAGUGAAAAAGGGCGCACGGUGGAUGCCUUGGCACUAGGAGCCGAAGAA